Molecule: ribosomal RNA, 421 nt
Filed under: Burkholderiales bacterium
Lineage: Bacteria; Pseudomonadati; Pseudomonadota; Betaproteobacteria; Burkholderiales
Description: bacterial SSU rRNA
Rfam family: Bacterial small subunit ribosomal RNA
Source: RNAcentral
AGAAGGCCUUCGGGUUGUAAACUGCUUUUGUCCGGAAAGAAAAGACGCUGUCUAAUACCUANNNCUCNAUGACGGUACCUGAAGAAUAAGCACCGGCUAACUACGUGCCAGCAGCCGCGGUAAUACGUAGGGUGCAAGCGUUAAUCGGAAUUACUGGGCGUAAAGCGUGCGCAGGCGGUUUUGUAAGACUGACGUGAAAUCCCCGGGCUCAACCUGGGAACUGCAUUUGAGACUGCAUAGCUAGAAUCUGGUAGAGGGGGAUGGAAUUCCACGUGUAGCAGUGAAAUGCGUAGAUAUGCGGAGGAACACCGAUGGCGAAGGCAACCCCCUGGACCUGGAUUGACGCUCAUGCACGAAAGCGUGGGGAGCAAACAGGAUUAGAUACCCUGGUAGUCCACGCCCUAAACGAUGUCUACUGNUU